This 18-nucleotide microRNA is filed under the name Plutella xylostella (diamondback moth). RNAcentral's name for it is "pxy-miR-2756". The record is from miRBase by way of RNAcentral. Lineage: Eukaryota; Metazoa; Arthropoda; Insecta; Lepidoptera; Plutellidae.
UGUAGCUGCUUAGGGGCG